RNAcentral lists this unclassified non-coding RNA (215 nucleotides) under Hevea brasiliensis (rubber tree). Lineage: Eukaryota; Viridiplantae; Streptophyta; Magnoliopsida; Malpighiales; Euphorbiaceae. The record is from RNAcentral.
UAAUGGCGGUGGCAAUGACUUCGACACCCGGCAAAACGGAAUCGAAGGGAGUCGGGAAAACAUCGCCUCCGCCGGUGACGGUUGCACCGAUCACCACAAUCCGGUCUCGUCUUGCUGUCGAUCUGUCCGCUCAGCACAGCCGCAGCGCUGAACGUCGGGAUUGUCCCCCGAGGACCAUAGAAGCUCAGCGGGAGAACGUGGCUGAUGUCUGUCGG